CGGCUAUGUAACGUUGAAACACGGGUUCUCGUCCGAUCACCGAAGUUAAGCAACGCCGAGACUGGGUGAUGGGUGACCGCUUGGGAAUUCGAGGUGCUC
Acanthosepion pharaonis is the source of this 99-nucleotide non-coding RNA. The record is from the annotation of a GenBank genome assembly. NCBI's taxonomy places the organism in Eukaryota, Metazoa, Mollusca, Cephalopoda, Sepiida, Sepiidae.